Molecule: long non-coding RNA, 320 nt
Filed under: Citrus maxima (pomelo)
Lineage: Eukaryota; Viridiplantae; Streptophyta; Magnoliopsida; Sapindales; Rutaceae
Description: long non-coding RNA (CMAX_LNC003456)
Source: RNAcentral
GAAACUUUUCCCCAGGCCUUUGUGAGUUGGUGCUUCUGAGAGAGUUAUACAUUCACAACAAUGAUUUAAGAGGUAGCUUGCCUUUGUGCUUGGCAAAUUUGACUUCCCUUCGAGUAUUAGAUGUCUCUUACAAUCAACUUACUGAAAACAUCUCAUCUUCCCUCAUGCAUCUAAUAUCUAUGGAAAAGCUCAUACUUUCAAAUAAUCACUUCUUCCAAAUCCCUAUUUCACUUAAACCACUUUUCAAUCUCUCAAAACUCAAGACUUUCGAGGGUGAAAUAUGCGCAGAAACUGAGUCACAUUAUAAUUCUUUGACCCCA